Molecule: long non-coding RNA, 318 nt
Filed under: Olea europaea (common olive)
Lineage: Eukaryota; Viridiplantae; Streptophyta; Magnoliopsida; Lamiales; Oleaceae
Description: long non-coding RNA (OEUR_LNC003333)
Source: RNAcentral
GGGAGUCUUACUUCACCCCACCUGGCCAGACUCCAGAAAAUCCAAGCCAGCAGUACCAAACACCUCCAGUGCAGCCACAGCAGAUCGCCCCUCCAUCACCGCCCCUACAGCAACAAUAUCAGUCACCUCCUCAGCAACACUACUCUCAGUCACCCCCACCUCCUCAGCAACACUAUUCUCAUCAACCCCGACCUCCUCAACAGCAGUACUCUCAGCAAUCUCCACCUCCUCAACCACACUCCACAAUUCCUACUGUGAACACCUCUCAACCUCAGCUGCCAUUGGGUCGUCAUCCUGAAGAAACACCUUAUAUGCAGC